RNAcentral lists this microRNA precursor (118 nucleotides) under Pelodiscus sinensis (Chinese soft-shelled turtle). Its description in RNAcentral is "MIR397 microRNA precursor family". It matches the Rfam family "MIR397 microRNA precursor family". Lineage: Eukaryota; Metazoa; Chordata; Testudines; Trionychidae. The record is from Rfam by way of RNAcentral.
UGGAUAUCACUAAUUGUGUUCAGCACUGAAACACUUUAAAUUUUCAUUUCUAGUACAGUUUAAUUGUGCAGCUGAAAAACAUUAAAGUGUUUCAGUGCUGAACACAAUUAGUGAUAUC